This 468-nucleotide ribosomal RNA is filed under the name uncultured bacterium. RNAcentral describes it as "partial 16S ribosomal RNA". It matches the Rfam family "Bacterial small subunit ribosomal RNA", at positions 28 to 507 of the family's 1533-position model. The record is from RNAcentral.
GACGAACGCUGGCGGCGUGCUUAACACAUGCAAGUCGAGCGGAAAGGCCCUGCUUUUGUGGGGUGCUCGAGUGGCGAACGGGUGAGUAACACGUGAGUAACCUGCCCUUGACUUUGGGAUAACUUCAGGAAACUGGGGCUAAUACCGGAUAGGAGCUCCUGCUGCAUGGUGGGGGUUGGAAAGUUUCGGCGGUUGGGGAUGGACUCGCGGCUUAUCAGCUUGUUGGUGGGGUAGUGGCUUACCAAGGCUUUGACGGGUAGCCGGCCUGAGAGGGUGACCGGCCACAUUGGGACUGAGAUACGGCCCAGACUCCUACGGGAGGCAGCAGUGGGGAAUAUUGCACAAUGGGCGGAAGCCUGAUGCAGCAACGCCGCGUGCGGGAUGACGGCCUUCGGGUUGUAAACCGCUUUCGCCUGUGACGAAACGUGAGUGACGGUAAUGGGUAAAGAAGCACCGGCUAACUACGUG